CAGGCUCUCCUGCGGAAACCAGGGUGACUGCCUCUCAGCUUUCCUGUCUGGCAGCCAGGGGCUCCUCUAAGAUGGGGAAUACCCACAGUUUCUUUGGUUGAGUGCUGGGUUUGACCUAAGGCCCAUUUUGAAGAAAGGAAUGAGUAUGUUUGAAGAUUGGAAUCAGUGGCAGGUGGUAAAAUGCUCUGAGGCCUCAGGAGAAUGAGAGCACCUGAACAAACAGUGUGGGCAUCUUUGAUGAAGAACAUAGAAAAAAUAAGGAAACGAUUUUUUGGUUACACACCGACGGCCAUUUGGGUCCACACUGUAUUUUACGGACUGCUAAGGGAGUGUUCAAGUUCUACUGGGAACGUGCUUUGGAAAGUUGCUAUUGAUGAUUUAUUUGGAUCCAGCAUCUCUUGGACUAGAAUUUCAUCUUGGGAAAAGCACACAAAGACAUGUUAAAG
Molecule: long non-coding RNA, 446 nt
Organism: Ailuropoda melanoleuca (giant panda)
Lineage: Eukaryota; Metazoa; Chordata; Mammalia; Carnivora; Ursidae
Exons: 4
Source: RefSeq, a predicted model, not a curated record